CCCAUCCACCCAGUUUGUGUGCCCCUCCCCCUGAUAGGGUUAGACAGCUCAGUAAUUUAGGGAUCACUAGCAAGAAAGGUGCAGAGGUCUGAAGUCAGGGAGGGGCUGGGAGGGGAAUUUCACCCCUGCACUAUGGAGAAACUCCCUUGUUCUACAGCCCACCUCUUCCCACCAUCUGUGCACCAGCCCCCUGUGGGCCUGAUACCACUGGGAAGGUGGAAGUAGACAUGAAUUCCAAGCCUCUUCUUCCCAUCUGUGAGCCGGCACGCCCUCAGGCCUCGCCUACACCAUCCCACAUGGGAUCCCUUCUCUGCACUAUGCUCUGAAGAUUAGCUUGCUCAGGAUCACAGACUCCCAGAACGAUUUCCUCCCAAGCUGCGCUCCAGGCCACAGGGAACUGACUGAAGAGUUCAAAGGAAAACUCCCAGCUCAGAGGGUGGCCUCCAUUAGGGAGGCUCUCAGCCCGGGAGCUGGGGCUCUAGGGAUUAGGCCAUGGAUCCAGGUACCUUGGGUAAUGCUCAACUGUCCUUCUCCCAAGGGCCAGAAAGCGCUGUGGGGAGAUCCCGGGGCUCUGCUGUUCCCCACAGACCCCUCCUCCUCACCACAGAACCCCCCUGGCAUGACUACAUAUACCUCUCUAUAAAUACACACAUCUUUAGCUAUAUACAUGCA
Long non-coding RNA from Otolemur garnettii (small-eared galago), 672 nucleotides. RefSeq lists it as uncharacterized. The transcript is spliced from 2 exons. The record is from RefSeq and is a predicted model, not a curated record. Lineage: Eukaryota; Metazoa; Chordata; Mammalia; Primates; Galagidae.